UUUUUAUGGAGAGUUUGAUCCUGGCUCAGGACGAACGCUGGCGGCGUGCCUAACACAUGCAAGUCGAACGGUCCGGUAUCCAACACCGAGCGCUUCAAAGGAAUUUUGAGGAGCCUGCGAGUGCGCGAACGAAGAGAGCGCACCACACUUUUAAAAAGUGCCAACACAGGCGGAGCAAAAUAGGAGUGGAGAAAUCGGUGUUGGGUAUUGGAUAGUGGCGAACGGGUGAGUAAC
Molecule: ribosomal RNA, 234 nt
Filed under: Dehalobacter sp. MCB1
Lineage: Bacteria; Bacillati; Bacillota; Clostridia; Eubacteriales; Desulfitobacteriaceae
Description: partial 16S ribosomal RNA
Rfam family: Bacterial small subunit ribosomal RNA
Source: RNAcentral